AAUAUAUGUUUGUUAAGUACUUUUGCUAAAUAGAAUCAAGCAGUGCAUCGUUUUAAAUACGAGUAAGUUAGCAUGUAGGCUACACUGUUUAAACAUGUCUGGCAGCGGAUGUAGUAAAACUCGCAAGCUCUAGAUGUCCUGCCCAGUUUGUGAAAUAUAAUUUAUGUGUUUGAAACCGUAGUAGAGUGUGUAUUUAUUCACGUAGUUUAAAUGUUUAGCUGUCAGUUCUGUGUGAUAUCAGUGCAAAUCCUUAGGUAGCAUGUUUUACAUAACAAACUUCACCUUAAACCACGGUGCGUGUUCAAGUGUGCAUUUUUACCGUAAACAAAAUAGAUUCACGUGUUGCUACUCCACAUGCCCUUGCUGUCACAAAACUAGAAGUUUUGAGAGUACAGAAAUGGUUGCUCAGAGGAUGUGAAAGGCAUGAUUCUUCUACCUCUCUCCUGUUUUGAUGAGAAAGAGGAGCUCCUCCAUUAUGUAGAAGAGACAAGCCUGGCAAAGGAUGUGGAGUUAGAAAACCUGCCUGUGACGCCUUGCAUUAUUGUGUGUGUGGACCCUCCUGCUAUGCUGCUGUCCGAUUCAUGCUAGCUGUGGACCGCAAGAUUGUGAAUGAUGACAUCACUUCUUUCAUCUCUGCUGUUUGCCUAAUGUUCUGCAGUUAUUACUGCUCCAAAAUUAACUACCCUACUGAACUGGCGUCAGUGCUUGAAUUCCUGCAAAGGUGUUUUUUUCAUCAUCAAUCCGGAGAAAGGGAAUAAAGGAGGUGGAAAAGAAAAACAAAAAGCUACUCCCAGUCUUCACCCUAAUCGCUGACCUUUCUGAUCAUGAAUGGCGAGAGACUUUGUAAAGGUGGUCUGCAGACUGUUUCCAAGUUUAUACUCGGGGUGAGAGACUUUGUAAAGGUGGCCUACAGACUGUUUCCAAGUUUUAAUCUCUUAAAGGGUUAUUUCAGGCUUGAAUCAAAUUUUCCCCAUGUUUUACUUACCCUCAAGGCAUCCUAAGUGAAUGUAACUUUCUUCUUGAGGAAUAAUGGAGUCAGAGUAAUAAUACCACGUAUCCUUUUACUUCCAAGCAGUAGAAUGGGAGUGAAUGGGGGGCAAUUUUUUAAAUCUCCAAAAAGUGCAUCCAUUGAUCAAAGAGCGGCUCGACACGGCUCCGUGGUCUUAACAAAGGUCUUCUGAAGCGAAUCCAUGCGUUUGUUUAAGAGAAAUAUACAUAUUGACAACGCUAUAAAGGAUAAUGUCCAACAUCCGCUGCAGGCGAGCGAGAGGCUUGUUUCUCCGGCAAAUGACGCAGAGUCUUCACCCUAAGUAAGUUCCUGUGACGAACACAGCAUUUUUCGUUUUCGCCAAUAUAAACACCGCCUCUUCUGGGCGGGAGCUUUCGUCGCCAUCAUUUAACGGAAAAACAAGCCUCUCUUUCGCCUGCAGAGGAUGUUAGACAUUAUCCUUAAU
Long non-coding RNA from Triplophysa rosa, 1454 nucleotides. RefSeq lists it as uncharacterized. The transcript is spliced from 3 exons. The record is from RefSeq and is a predicted model, not a curated record. NCBI's taxonomy places the organism in Eukaryota, Metazoa, Chordata, Actinopteri, Cypriniformes, Nemacheilidae.